GACGUAGACCCGAAACCGGGCGACCUACCCAUGAGCAGGAUGAAGCGAAAGUAAAAUUUCGUGGAGGUCCGAACCCACGAGCGUUGAAAAGCUCGGGGAUGACUUGUGGGUAGCGGUGAAAUUCCAAUCGAGCCCGGAGAUAGCUGGUUCUCCCCGAAAUAGCUUUAGGGCUAGCCUCAAGGUGAGAGAUACGGAGGUAGAGCACUGAAUGUCCUAGGGGGUAUUGCACCUACCGAAGACUAUCAAACUCCGAAUGCCGUCAUCUUAUACUUGGGAGUCAGACUGUGGGUGAUAAGAUUCAUAGUCGAAAGGGCAACAGCCCAGAUCGUCAGCUAAGGUCCCUAAAUGUAAGUUAAGUGGUAAAGGAUGUGGGAUUGCACAGACAACCAGGAUGUUGGCUUAGAAGCAGCCACUCAUUCAAAGAGUGCGUAAUAGCUCACUGGUCGAGUGAUCCUGCGCCGAAGAUUUCCGGGGCUAAAACUUACUACCGAAGCUACGGCAUCAGUAAUGAUGGGUAGGGGAGCUUCCCAUACGGGUUGAAGCAUGACCGUAAGGACAUGUGGACAGUAUGGGAGUGAGAAUGUUGGCAUGAGUAGCGAGAUGUGGGUGAGAAUCCCACAGGCCGUAAACCCAAGGUUUCCAGGGGAAGGUUCGUCCGCCCUGGGUUAGUCGGGACCUAAGCUGAGGCCGA
Molecule: ribosomal RNA, 691 nt
Filed under: Clostridioides difficile
Lineage: Bacteria; Bacillati; Bacillota; Clostridia; Peptostreptococcales; Peptostreptococcaceae
Description: bacterial LSU rRNA
Rfam family: Bacterial large subunit ribosomal RNA
Source: RNAcentral